Non-coding RNA from Misgurnus anguillicaudatus (oriental weatherfish), 4166 nucleotides. The record is from RefSeq and is a predicted model, not a curated record. NCBI's taxonomy places the organism in Eukaryota, Metazoa, Chordata, Actinopteri, Cypriniformes, Cobitidae.
CCAGUAUCACGCUAAAGCGUGUAAUAGACACGCUGGUCCACUAGAGGAUGCGUGUCAAUGUCACGCUUUGCCUCCUCAAGGCGUGAAAAUGACACGCAUUUAUGAGGAUGAUAACCAAUAGGGGGCGAUAAUUUCUUAUUGCCAACAACUUCAACAAGAGAAGCGACGCAGUGAUAUGCGUUCUCUGGAGCUCCAUGGGUAAGGCUUUCUUGGAAAUUUGGUGAUUAAUGUUACUAAAAUUGAGUAAAUCCUGUGUUUAUGUUAAGUCUUUGUUGCAACGUUAGCAAUAUAAUAUCACCGCUAAGGCAACAGACAAGUCAGUGCACGCGUUUGGUCAGAAUCCAAUUGGCUCAUAUUUAGGACAUAAUUGUUUGUUCAGGUGCGGUCAUUUAAGAAAUCCUAAAGUUGGUGCAGCAUAACAUUUAAUUUGCGUGUGUGGACUAUGGAGUUAUCUAUAGUGGUUUUUACGUUACUAAGGUCAGAAACAUUAUUGGAUGACUGUUUGAUAAUCAGCUAAAGUUAAUGUAUUAAUCACAGAAAGCUGCAGUGACUGCAUUAUAUUAUGUUGCUAAACAGUUGUUCUGGCGUUUUUAAACCAGUAGUUUUAUUAAUUUCGCGCGGAAUGCAGUUCGUGAAAUAAGCUCUAAAUGAAAAAAUAACCGAUUUAAGUAAAUAAUUGUGUUCAUUGUAAAUCUGCUCAUCUAAACAUACAAGGCGGAACCAAUCGAUCACAGAGAGCGAUCGCUGCUGACACCGUCAGCAGCACUUACAUUCAGAUUACAAGAAUAUUUCACAUUAUUACAUUCAGAUUACAAUAAUAUUUCACAUUAUAAGUGUUUUUAUAUCAAAUAAAUGCAGCCUUGGUGAGCAGAAUAGAUUUAUUUAAUUAUUUAAUAUUAUUUAUAUAAUAAGGCUAGUUUGUGCAGUUACAUCUAUGUCAAUUGAGCGUUAGAAGGGAUUAAAAUUGAUUGUGUUAUGUUCUGUAAUUGUUGUUAAUAAAUCUGUCAGAAGAAAGUGUGUAAAAGUUUGACUACAGUAACCAUAUCUAACCAAGCUUCAAGUACCAAGAUAAUUAUUUCAUUUAUUUCUCUGAAGUCAGAUCAACUGUUCAUUUAUGCAGUUUAUGCUUUAUUUAUAGGUAGCAUAACUGUUACCUUUUUUUACAGUUCUGCAUAUAUAAUAUGACAAACCUAGGAGACUUUGCUGUAAGAGAAUUAAUCAUGUUUUUGUUUUCUUUUCUCAGGUCCGGUCAGUACCCACCACCCUUCCCUGUUCACCCACAGUUUAUACUUUUUCUUAGAAAACCAACGGCUCUUUUAAGAGCCACUUCAAUAGACCCUUUUACAGCCCACGUGAUCAAAUAGCCUGCGUGCGCAUUUUGGCAACGGAAGUGAUGUUAUUUCCCAGUGGUUCUAACGUGUAAGCAACUCAGAAAGUUUAUUAAAACGAUUUCCCCACAUCAAAACGUCUGGUUGUAGCAUUUGGUUGCACUAAUAUAAUAUACGUUUAGUAUUUGGCCAUCUUCUAACGUCUUCUAUCCACUCCACUAUAGUACACGGAUCUGGUAACUGUGUAGAAGAUAAGUCAACUUUUUAAACUAACUUUCUCUGUCUGUGUUGCUUCACUGCUGAUUCUUGCCAUGCUUCCGUUGCCAAACUGCGUGCGCAUACGUUGCCACGUCAUCAUUGUGUACAAACAGUAAAAGGGUCACUCACUCACUCUUUCGCAAGCUUCUCUGUUUUCAAUAUUGUUGAAAUGGCUGCUGAGCAAGACAGAGGGAGAGCAGAGGGUGUUAUUUUCAUAGCAGACAUGCUUCUUGCUCAAAUCAAGUAUUACCAUACAAGGCACACUUUCUUUUAUGCAAGGCAGAGGAACCCAAGGGCAAAGCAACAGCCAUUAAAGGGAGUACAUUUAAUGUCAGAUAGGUGGAGAAAAUGCUGAAGGAGGUCCACUACUAAAAAGCAGCAGAAGUGAAGAGAUACAAAGCUUCAGCUACAGUCUGUUUAUUGCCUACAGUGAGACCUCCACAUUUCUGCACUUGUGAUCAUGCAAACAUCCAGUGUAGAGCACUUCACCUGCCCGGCAUGUACACCCAACAAUGCUCACUCUUUGUGCAGAUGGCAACAGAAAAACCUACAGAUUCCGUCAGUCAAAAGAAAGGAGCUUCAAGCAGCCACAAACGGAGAGUUCUUUUGAACAGAUAUUGCUUGCAAGUAUUGGCCAUACCUUGAGAAGGCGUCAGUCUCCAUGUUGGAACUCAGACCUUUACUGCAGAUGAGACCUUUCCUUUCUGUCAUGCAUGCCAAGGCUCAUUCAACCAAGUGUCAGGUGUCACACAUUUGUUAGAUAAUCUGGCAAAAAUCAGGAAGGUGCUGGUACAACUGCAGUUGAGGAGGUCAAAAUGGUCAACAGCUACCUGUCUCGUUGUGGCCUCACAACCAAGUAUCUAAUUGAUGCCUAUUUAUAAUAUUUUAGGAAACCUGUCUUUAUUUUUUCACUUUUUUAUUCUUUCUGUCUAGUACUUUGAGAUUGCAUAAGAGUAAGCUGUAACUGUUCAAAGUACAUAAAAAAUUGGCAUGUAGUUCUCUCUUAAAUUUUAAACUCAAUUGUCAGUUUCUGGAUUAAUUGAAAUACCACAAGCAUUAAUGGGACCUUUCUUCCUUCAUCACAUACAUGUCUUGUUAAUAGCCAGGAAUGACAUGCUAACUGUCCAUGCUAUUGGGUGGAACCAACGGAAGCAAGAAGGCCUUCAGCAUUAUCCAGCAGAUACAUCAAGAAAGGCUGAGUCUCAGAGACGGGAAGAUUUGAGCAGUGAACUGGGGUGUCCUGAGAACAUUGUGAAUCAGUGGGUACAAGAUGUCAGACAAAAGGCUACUGAUGGUACCAGAUGUGAUGACCUACACAACCUUCAGAAAUGAAUUGAACAAAUGUUUCUUAGUCUUCAUCGAAAAGCCAGCAUUUAUAAUCACACUGAAUCCAGCAACACCCUCACCAAGAAGAUUUUUUUGAUGUAUACAUGUCAAAAGUGCACCUUCAAGAAGCAAAGAUCAUUGUGAUGAGGGAGAUGAGACACCACUGCACCGCACCUAUCUCAGAAGCCUGGCUAGGAACAUCAGGAAAAUGAUUUCAGAAAUGUCUUCAGGCAAAAACAGUGGCAGUAUAAGUGAAGAGUGUCAUCGCUGGCUACUGUGUCGUCUUCAGAAAAGGCUUGCAGAUGUAGAGAAGAAGUUCUAAGUUUGCUCAAGUUACAGCCAGGCUUUAGGACAGUGUUCUUCACUCCCAACCCCGGAGAGCCGGUGUCCUGCAGACUUUAGCUCCUACCUUAAUCAAACACAUCUGAAAGCUAAUCAAUGUCUUCAUGAUCUCUAGAAAAUCACAGGUAUGCGUGUUUGAUUAAGGUUGGAGCUAAGCUCUGCAGGACACCGGCUCUCCAGGAUAGAGAGUGAAGAACACUGCUUUAGGACCAAAUGCUGUUUCUCUGCUGGAGGAUGAGCCUGAGGAGAUACUGGAGGACCACAAAGAGCUGGAUUAUGAGAGUUCAGAUGACAUUUUGGAUUUGGAACUCUGAACUGGUGUAUGCAUUUAGACUGUGUGUCACACUGAACUGCAGGUGUGUUUCAUGGAAAACAAAACUAUUUGGAAAUGUAAUGGAUGUCUGAUACAGUGCUUUUAUUUUAGACAACCGUUUCCUGCAGUCUGUAAGCAACAUUAGCCUCAUAGAUUGAUGGGAAACUACUGUUAAAUAAGUUUUUGUAUGAUAAUCCAUAUCUCCGUUUACAAGCAGCAGGUUAGCUAUUAGGUUUCCCCUCCACCUCCGAUGUUUCACAGACUACUCCUACAGUCAACUGUGUUGCUACAACUUGCAAAUGCCACAAUCCUCUUGCAGUGGUUACUUCACCAAACUGUGCCCAUAUCAUCUUGUCAACAUAAUGACAUUUACUGUAGAAAAAUGUGCAAAUCUAUUUUGCCUGUGUUACAUAUGUUACUAUUAUUGUUAUAUAGUUUUAUACUGUAUCAAGUUUUUUUCACAGUGAUUGUGGUACUUUUGGAGUGAACUAACUGUAUGUCAUUAGAUGAAAUACUUUCCAUAAGUGACUGAUCAAUAGCCUACCCAUAUUUGAUGCAUGAGUUAAUACCGUUGUUACCUUUUCAAUGAAAGGAAAUGU